This 71-nucleotide ribosomal RNA is filed under the name Aquimarina celericrescens. RNAcentral's name for it is "partial 16S ribosomal RNA". It matches the Rfam family "Bacterial small subunit ribosomal RNA", at positions 1463 to 1533 of the family's 1533-position model. Lineage: Bacteria; Pseudomonadati; Bacteroidota; Flavobacteriia; Flavobacteriales; Flavobacteriaceae. The record is from RNAcentral.
UAAAACUGGUAACUGGGGCUAAGUCGUAACAAGGUAGCCGUACCGGAAGGUGCGGCUGGAACACCUCCUUU